This 561-nucleotide non-coding RNA is filed under the name Salinivibrio sp. KP-1. RNAcentral describes it as "Bacterial small subunit ribosomal RNA". It matches the Rfam family "Bacterial small subunit ribosomal RNA", at positions 1 to 539 of the family's 1533-position model. The record is from Rfam by way of RNAcentral. Lineage: Bacteria; Pseudomonadati; Pseudomonadota; Gammaproteobacteria; Vibrionales; Vibrionaceae.
AAAUUGAAGAGUUUGAUCAUGGCUCAGAUUGAACGCUGGCGGCAGGCCUAACACAUGCAAGUCGAGCGGAAACGGCAGUAUUGAAGCUUCGGUGGAUUUACUGGACGUCGAGCGGCGGACGGGUGAGUAACGGCUGGGAACCUGCCCUGACGAGGGGGAUAACCGUUGGAAACGACGGCUAAUACCGCAUAAUGUCUACGGACCAAAGGUGGCCUCUGCAUGUAAGCUAUCGCGUUGGGAUGGGCCCAGUUAGGAUUAGCUAGUUGGUAAGGUAAUGGCUUACCAAGGCGACGAUCCUUAGCUGGUUUGAGAGGAUGAUCAGCCACACUGGGACUGAGACACGGCCCAGACUCCUACGGGAGGCAGCAGUGGGGAAUAUUGCACAAUGGGGGAGACCCUGAUGCAGCCAUGCCGCGUGUGUGAAGAAGGCCUUCGGGUUGUAAAGCACUUUCAGCAGUGAGGAAGGUGGUGUACUUAAUACGUGCAUGGCUUGACGUUAGCUGCAGAAGAAGCACCGGCUAACUCCGUGCCAGCAGCCGCGGUAAUACGGAGGGUGCGAGC